GCUAUCGGCCAUACCACGUUGAAUACGCCGGUUCUCCUCCGAUCACCGAAGCUAAGCAACGUUGGGCCCGGGUAGUACUUGGAAGGGAGACCGCCUGGGAACAUCGGGUGUUGAUACCA
This 119-nucleotide ribosomal RNA is filed under the name Tropilaelaps mercedesae. The record is from RNAcentral. Lineage: Eukaryota; Metazoa; Arthropoda; Arachnida; Mesostigmata; Laelapidae.